This 468-nucleotide ribosomal RNA is filed under the name uncultured bacterium. RNAcentral describes it as "partial 16S ribosomal RNA". It matches the Rfam family "Bacterial small subunit ribosomal RNA", at positions 28 to 507 of the family's 1533-position model. The record is from RNAcentral.
GACGAACGCUGGCGGCGUGCUUAACACAUGCAAGUCGAACGGAAAGGCCCUGCUUUUGUGGGGUGCUCGAGUGGCGAACGGGUGAGUAACACGUGAGUAACCUGCCCUUGACUUUGGGAUAACUUCAGGAAACUGGGGCUAAUACCGGAUAGGAGCUCCUGCUGCAUGGUGGGGGUUGGAAAGUUUCGGCGGUUAGGGAUGGACUCGCGGCUUAUCAGCUUGUUGGUGGGGUAGUGGCUUACCAAGGCUUUGACGGGUAGCCGGCCUGAGAGGGUGACCGGCCACAUUGGGACUGAGAUACGGCCCAGACUCCCACGGGAGGCAGCAGUGGGGAAUAUUGCACAAUGGGCGGAAGCCUGAUGCAGCAACGCCGCGUGCGGGAUGACGGCCUUCGGGUUGUAAACCGCUUUCGCCUGUGACGAAGCGUGAGUGACGGUAAUGGGUAAAGAAGCACCGGCUAACUACGUG